GAUGAACGCUGGCGGCGUGCUUAACACAUGCAAGUCGAACGAUGAAGCCCAGCUUGCUGGGUGGAUUAGUGGCGAACGGGUGAGUAACACGUGAGUAACCUGCCCUUGACUCUGGGAUAAGCCUGGGAAACUGGGUCUAAUACUGGAUAUGACUUCUCAUCGCAUGGUGGGGGGUGGAAAGAUUUAUUGGUCUUGGAUGGACCCGCGGCCUAUCAGCUUGUUGGUGAGGUAAUGGCUCACCAAGGCGACGACGGGUAGCCGGCCUGGGAGGGUGACCGGCCACACUGGGACUGAGGCAGGGCCCAGACUCCUACGGGGGGCAGCAGUGGGGAAUAUUGCACAAUGGGCGCAAGCCUGAUGCAGCGACGCCGCGUGAGGGAUGACGGCCUUCGGGUUGUAAACCUCUUUCAGUAGGGAAGAAGCGAGAGUGACGGUACCUGUAGAAGAAGCGCCGGCUAACCACGUG
Molecule: ribosomal RNA, 466 nt
Filed under: uncultured bacterium
Lineage: Bacteria
Description: partial 16S ribosomal RNA
Rfam family: Bacterial small subunit ribosomal RNA
Source: RNAcentral